Molecule: unclassified non-coding RNA, 290 nt
Filed under: uncultured fungus
Lineage: Eukaryota; Fungi
Description: partial contains small subunit ribosomal RNA, internal transcribed spacer 1, and 5.8S ribosomal RNA
Rfam family: Eukaryotic small subunit ribosomal RNA (bases 1-73)
Source: RNAcentral
UCAAACUUGGUCAUUUAGAGGAAGUACAAGUCGUAACAAGGUUUCCGUAGGUGAACCUGCGGAAGGAUCAUUAACAAAUCGUGUUGUGUAUAGUGUGUGUGUAGAUUAAUAUAUCUAUCUACCACAUAUAUCAUAUAUACACAUACAUAUAUGUGCUCCAGGCAUUUCGCCUGGUUGCUACAAAUAUAUAUAUAUAUUCAUUAUUGUAUAGUUGUAUUUUUAGUUAUAAAAUUAAUGUGAACACUUUUAACAAUGGAUCUCUUGGCUCUUGCAUCGAUGAAGAACGCAGC